Molecule: ribosomal RNA, 356 nt
Filed under: uncultured bacterium
Lineage: Bacteria
Description: bacterial SSU rRNA
Rfam family: Bacterial small subunit ribosomal RNA
Source: RNAcentral
GNAGGGCGCAAGCGUNGUCCGGAAUNACUGGGUGUAAAGGGAGCGCAGGCGGGAAGACAAGUUGGAAGUGAAAACCAUGGGCUCAACCCAUGAAUNGCUUUCAAAACUGUNUUUUCUUGAGUAGUGCAGAGGUAGAUGGAAUNCCCGGUGUAGCGGUGGAAUGCGUAGAUAUCGGGAGGAACACCAGUGGCGAAGGCGGUCUACUGGGCACCAACUGACGCUGAGGCUCGAAAGCAUGGGUAGCAAACAGGAUUAGAUACCCUGGUAGUCCAUGCCGUAAACGAUGAUUACUAGGUGUUGGGGGAUUGACCCCCUCAGUGCCGCAGUUAACACAAUAAGUAAUCCACCUGGGGAGU